AUCUCCCGAAAUGUCUCACCUUCAGAAUUUGUUCUUUCGUUUUAUGAGGCGGCCAAUGGAUAAUUACACGUUUUAAAGCUGGUGUCUUUACAGAGCGUAUUUUCUCUCCUUUCGUCUUAGACUCUGUCCCACUCGCUCCGGCCUCCUUGGUGUGGUCUGGACACACCAUGCACCCUGCCGCCCCAGGGCCUUUGCAUGUGCCUCCCCUCCGCGUUCCUUGCUCGUCCCAUUGAGUUCAGGGUGCUUCCCUCCCUCACUCCUUUUCACGUGUCUGUUCAAAUCCCUCCUCGUCAGAAAGGCCUUUCUGGCCGACACACUGUGAAAUAUUCCCUAGUCCUCUUCCAAGAUGCACCAUGCUCUAGCCCUCUGCCAGGUUUAUUUUUCUUCUUGGCCGUUAGUACCAUGUUGUAUGUUAUACCUUUACUGACUUAUUAUUAGUUUGCUGUUUCUCUCACUAAAGUUUAAGUUCCACAAGAGCAGGAACUUUGCCUAUUUUGUUCGUUAGUGUAACCCAGUACCUGUAACUAUGCCCGAUGCAUAUGGAUGCUCAACAAAUGAUUGUUAGAUGAAUGAAUAAAGUCAACCUCAGAUACUUGGAGAAGCUACCAUGACUCUCUUAUAUGAAUUUCAUGACAGAGGGAUUGCUCUGUAUCCUUACAAAAUUCUUAGUGAUAUAUUUUAAGAUGAUAUAUAUAUAUUUGAAUAUAUUAAUUUUUCAUUCCAUUUGUUUACUUUGAAGCCCUUUGUUGGUAAGGUGAACUGCUCUUGGUGUGGCUGAUUAGAAAGGUCUGUUCUUCUAAACUAUAACCUCACAAUCCCCAUAGGACGAUUCAUGUGACCCUGGAUGAUUGCAGUGAUAAUCCCAUCAUCAACGCGCCAUCUGUUGUCUUUGGGCAAUUGGACCCCAUUUCCAAAAAAUCAAGAGAUUUGAUAUUUUUCUCAUUUUCACUUUCUAGGUACAGGUCUUAAUCCUACAAGAGCUACAAAGAAAAGCCAUGACAGAGGCUUGCCAACAUUUUCAGCGUUGACUUACAGUGUCAGAUGCCAUCCUUUUCAAUUUGAGGAAAUGAGGCAGACGCUUAAUUUGUAGGAAUUUGGGAGAGGGCCGUAUUUAUAAGUAAAACGUUGGCAGGCUCUCUAUUGGUAUUCUGCUGGUGGUGUGAUCAGGGCACAUCGUCCUGGAGUUGCUUCCCCUUACUUCCUCUUUUUUGCUUCACGUUCACACACGUUCAUGUGCAAAUACUUAAGAUUAUUGUCUCUACUUUAUAAAUAAUUCAAACUAUACACUCAUCAGCAAUAUUAGAUUCUUCGGCUUCAUAAUAAACAUCCCACAAUACAUUUAGGGUGGACCUUGACAUAUCAUAGUUUGGUAGAGAUUUGUGUUUGAAUGUUGCAAACUGUGAGUUACCAGCUGUAUGACUUUAAGUAAAUUCCAUAAUUUUUUUGUAAAAUGGAUAUAAAGCUGCCUCACAAUUUGAUUAUAGAAUUUUGUGAGAUAAUAUUUUUUAAAUUCAGCAUUGUUUGCAAAUUACACAUAAGCAGACUUUGAACAUAUUUAAUUUCUUUUACUUUUCUUUGAGGAAAAGUUAUUUGGAAAACCUUCAAAAAACCACUUUUUUUGAUAAUAAUGCCAAAAUUAAUAUCAGUAUUUGGAUUAUUAAUUAUAAUGUUGACUAAUAUUUAUGUUACUUAUUCUGGACGAAGUGCUGUGGUUGUUAAAAUGUGCAGUUUGUCCCUUUAAACCUCACAGCCACAGCACAGUGUGACUCUUAUUUUCCUCAUUCAAAAUUGAGAAAACUGAAAUCUGCAGUGGUUAAAGAACUUAGCCAAGCUCACACAGGUCCAGAAUUACAAAAAAGAGAUCUGAUUUUAGGUCUUCUUGAUAACAAAUCACACCCUUUUAACUAGUAUGCUCAGUAACCUAUUUUAUGAGGGGCUUUGACAGUAUAAUGUUUGAAAAUAUCUUUGUAAAGGCACAAAGACAUAGAUAAGGAUUUUAUAUCUAUAUCUAUACAUAUAUAUGCAAUUUAUGUAUACUAUAUGUAUGUAUAUUUCAUUUCACUCAAUUAUAAAAAUUUAUCUGGAGUUCCCCUUGUGACUCAGUGGUGAUGAACCUGACUAGUUUCCAUGAGGACUUGGAUUUAAUCCCUAGCCUAACUCAGUGGGUUAAGAAUAUGGCAUUGCCUUGAGCUGUGGUGUAGGUCACAGAUGCCACUCAGGUCUGACAUUGCUGUGGCUGUGGUGUAGGCCAGCAGCUAUAGCUCUGAUUUGCCCCCUAGCCUGGGAACCUCCAUAUGCCGCAGGUGCAGCCCUAAAAAGAGGAAAGAAAGAAAGGAAGGAAGGAAGGGAGGGAGGGAGGGAGGAAGGAAAGGAAAGAAAGAAAGAAAAGAAAAGAAAACUUAUCAAUUACUUAGUAUGUGAAAGUUUUGUUAGAUUCUGUCAUAUAUACAGCUGUGAACACAGUGGAACCUUUGACUUUAAGGAGCUCUCUACGUGUGUGUAUAUUAAUAUAUUAUUUCAUGCCUAUAUAUAUCAGAGUGAAUUACUGAACUGAGGUUUUAAAAUAUUUUAACAAAUACGUUACUCAUACAAAAUUUGUUAAUGGAAAUUUAUACCUGGAAGUCAAACUGGAUGCCAUCAAAAAUGUUAUGCUUUAUGAAGCAGAGGACGAUAUGUAAUAAGCACAUCAAAUACACUAUGAGGAAACAGAGUUUAAAGAAUAUUAGGGCAACAUAGUAUUUUUGUCUCUAACGCUCACCGUCUAUCGGCACCGAUUCCUCGAGAGUUAGAGUUGAAAUGGAGGGUCACAAGCUAUGCUGGUUUGUUGGACUUUGACGUGGUAGAUCUUUGAAAAAUAAAUGAAGUAUCUGUUCCAAUUCUUCAACUAACAGACCAAGAAAAGCUACUCUAGAGUUGUGAAGGAACGUGGCCACUUUUCGCAAAUUGGGUUAAAUCCCAGACCAGAGGGUUAGUGGCAGUGGUGUAUGUAAACACUUACUGUUACAUGACAAGCGUUAAAGCAUGUGGGUACAUGAUUCAGUCUACCUUCCAUGAGUUGCUUAGCCGAGAAAGGGGGUACUGAGCACCUGCUUCUUCUCUAAGUCCCCCUCGGAGAUGACCACUUAGAGAACCAGCAUUUUAUCAGAUUAGGCUAUGAGCAGAAGGAACAUUUAAAUCCAGUCUCAUCAAAUAAAGAUUUAUUUUUAUAGGAGAAACUAAGUGUUGUGGAGGACAGAAGAAUGGUGGCUUGGAAUGAAUUACUCUGUCCCUUUGUUCUUAUGGACAGUUAAGUGACACAUCAUCACUUUUGGGUUUUUAAGAAAUGACCCUUAGACCUACUAGAGAUGGGUCACUUUGAAGUUUGGUAAAGUAUUGUUUCUGUUGCAAAUCGCACACUUUCCUGAACGCGCUGGUUCAGGACCCUCCCCUCAGCUCGUCUUAAUUGUCCCCACCCCUCCUGUUCACGUCAGACAUGGCCUUCUUUGCUGUGGAACCCCAAAAGGAUCUCAGAAUUCUUAUGCAGGUACCCCAAGCAGCCGAUACCAGGUGAUCAGCAUUUUCACCUGUGGUGGAAGGUAUGUGCCCUUGCUGGCACAGCACGAACACUCAAGGUAUUGAGUUAGAGGAUUCGGUACCAGAACAACUCUAAUGACUGCGUAAUUCUGACAUGGCAUUUAACUUCCCAAUGCCUCUGUUUCCUUGCCGAUGUGAUGGAGGCAAUAGUUACUUUAUGAUAACUUUUUCUAAGUUAUAGGAUGGCUGUAAGGAUAAGUGAUAUUGUAUUGGCAAAUAUCUUGGAGAAGAUAAAAACCACAAGAAUACCUGCACCAGUGUAACUUAUCGUAAUUAUCUACGUGUAAAUAGGUCCCUACUAAUAUCCAAAGGCAAACUUUUUUUCCCAGUUUUUCUCCUUUUGCCUCUAAAGCCUCCUUUCCCUCCCCUAUAAAAUGCCGAUGGUAUUGGCUUACUAUCUGGCAGACACUACAUAUGUGAUGUGUCAUAUAUAAUAUGUAAUUGUUACAUAUAUUGUCUCAUUUAACCUGUUCACCAUCCUAAGAAAGCCUGUUUUACAGACAUGAAAACUUAAAUCUGGAAUAGUUAAGUAAUUUUCCCAACACCAAAACUUGAAAAAGGUAGAACUGAAAUUGAAUCAGAUAACCAACUCUUAAUCACAUAAUUAAUGUAAAAAACAGGCAGUGGUUCCAAUAGGUUUAGUG
This 4217-nucleotide long non-coding RNA is filed under the name Sus scrofa (pig). RNAcentral's name for it is "lncRNA (ENSSSCG00000055159.1)". The record is from RNAcentral. Lineage: Eukaryota; Metazoa; Chordata; Mammalia; Artiodactyla; Suidae.